Molecule: Y RNA, 113 nt
Filed under: Carlito syrichta (Philippine tarsier)
Lineage: Eukaryota; Metazoa; Chordata; Mammalia; Primates; Tarsiidae
Description: Y RNA (ENSTSYG00000032941.1)
Rfam family: Y RNA
About the family: Y RNAs are components of the Ro ribonucleoprotein particle (Ro RNP), in association with Ro60 and La proteins. The Y RNAs and Ro60 and La proteins are well conserved, but the function of the Ro RNP is not known.
Source: Rfam by way of RNAcentral
GUCUGGUCCAAAGGUAGUGAGUUAUUUCAAUUGAUUAUUCACAGUCAGUUACAGAACAAACUCCCAGUUCUACCCUUUCCGUCCUUCUCACUAUUGCACUUGACUAAUCUUUU